GACGAACGCUGGCGGCGUGCUUAACACAUGCAAGUCGAACGGAAAGGCCCCCACCUUGGUGGGGGUGCUCGAGUGGCGAACGGGUGAGUAACACGUGGGUGAUCUGCCCUGUACUUCGGGAUAAGCUUGGGAAACUGGGUCUAAUACCGGAUAGGGCCAUGGUUUAGUGUCUCAUGGUGGAAAGAUUAUUGUUUUGGUGCAGGAUGAGCUCGCGGCCUAUCAGCUUGUUGGUGGGGUAAUGGCCUACCAAGGCGUCGACGGGUAGCCGGCCUGAGAGGGUGGACGGCCACAUUGGGACUGAGAUACGGCCCAGACUCCUACGGGAGGCAGCAGUGGGGAAUAUUGCACAAUGGGCGCAAGCCUGAUGCAGCGACGCCGCGUGGGGGAUGACGGCCUUCGGGUUGUAAACUCCUUUCGUUAGGGACGAAGCCGCACCUGUUUUGGGUGUGGUGACGGUACCUUUGUUAAGAAGCACCGGCUAACUACGUGCCAGCAGCCGCGGUAAUACGUAGGGUGCGAGCGUUGUCCGGAAUUACUGGGCGUAAAGAGCUCGUAAGUGGUUUGUUGCGUCGUCUGUGAAUUCCGGGGCUUAACUUCGGGGUGGCAGGCGAUACGGGCAUAACUAGAGUGCUGUAGGGGAGACUGGAAUUCCUGGUGUAGCGGUGGAAUGCGCAGAUAUCAGGAGGAACACCGAUGGCGAAGGCAGGUCUCUGGGCAGUAACUGACGCUGAGGAGCGAAAGCAUGGGGAGCGAACAGGAUUAGAUACCCUGGUAGUCCAUGCUGUAAACGGUGGGCGUUAGGUGUGGGGACCGGUUUGGUUUCUGUGCCGUAGCUAACGCAUUAAGCGCCCCGCCUGGGGAGUACGGCCGCAAGGCUAAAACUCAAAGGAAUUGACGGGGGCCCGCACAAGCGGCGGAGCAUGUGGAUUAAUUCGAUGCAACGCGAAGAACCUUACCUGGGUUUGACAUGCACCAGACGGUUGUAGAGAUACGUACCUCCCUUUGUGGUUGGUGUGCAGGUGGUGCAUGGUUGUCGUCAGCUCGUGUCGUGAGAUGUUGGGUUAAGUCCCGCAACGAGCGCAACCCUUGUCUUAUGUUGCCAGCACUUUGGGUGGGGACUCAUGAGAGACUGCCGGGGUUAACUCGGAGGAAGGUGGGGAUGACGUCAAAUCAUCAUGCCCUUUAUGCCCAGGGCUUCACACAUGCUACAAUGGUUAGUACAACGCGCUGCGAACCUGUGAGGGUGAGCGAAUCGCUGAAAGCUAAUCUCAGUUCGGAUUGGGGUCUGCAACUCGACCCCAUGAAGUCGGAGUCGCUAGUAAUCGCAGAUCAGCAAUGCUGCGGUGAAUACGUUCCCGGGCCU
Molecule: ribosomal RNA, 1363 nt
Filed under: uncultured bacterium
Lineage: Bacteria
Description: bacterial SSU rRNA
Rfam family: Bacterial small subunit ribosomal RNA
Source: RNAcentral